AAUAUUGGACAAUGGGCGAAAGCCUGAUCCAGCCAUGCCGCGUGUGUGAAGAAGGUCUUCGGAUUGUAAAGCACUUUAAGUUGGGAGGAAGGGCAGUARGUUAAUACCUUGCUGUUUUGACGUUACCAACAGAAUAAGCACCGGCUAACUUCGUGCCAGCAGCCGCGGUAAUACGAAGGGUGCAAGCGUUAAUCGGAAUUACUGGGCGUAAAGCGCGCGUAGGUGGUUUGGUAAGAUGGAUGUGAAAUCCCCGGGCUCAACCUGGGAACUGCAUCCAUAACUGCCUGACUAGAGUACGGUAGAGGGUGGUGGAAUUUCCUGUGUAGCGGUGAAAUGCGUAGAUAUARGAAGGAACACCAGUGGCGAAGGCGACCACCUGGACUGAUACUGACACUGAGGUGCGAAAGCGUGGGGAGCAAACAG
RNAcentral lists this ribosomal RNA (423 nucleotides) under uncultured bacterium. RNAcentral describes it as "bacterial SSU rRNA". It matches the Rfam family "Bacterial small subunit ribosomal RNA", at positions 360 to 775 of the family's 1533-position model. The record is from RNAcentral.